RNAcentral lists this ribosomal RNA (388 nucleotides) under Crustomastigaceae sp. RNAcentral describes it as "partial small subunit ribosomal RNA". It matches the Rfam family "Eukaryotic small subunit ribosomal RNA", at positions 582 to 975 of the family's 1831-position model. The record is from RNAcentral. Lineage: Eukaryota; Viridiplantae; Chlorophyta; Mamiellophyceae; Dolichomastigales; Crustomastigaceae.
AUUCCAGCUCCAAUAGCGUAUAUUUAAGUUGUUGCAGUUAAAAAGCUCGUAGUUGGAUUUCGGGUGUCAUCUGCCGGUCCGCCGUUUCGGUGUGCACUAGCGGGCGUCAUCUUUCUGUCGAGGACGCGCUCCUGUCCUUCACUGGUCGGGACGCGGAGUCGGCGAGGUUACUUUGAAAAAAUUAGAGUGUUCAAAGCGGGCUUACGCUUGAAUAUAUUAGCAUGGAAUAACACUAUAGGACUCCUGUCCUAUUUUGUUGGUCUUCGGGACGGGAGUAAUGAUUAAGAGGAACAGUUGGGGGCAUUCGUAUUUCAUUGUCAGAGGCGAAAUUCUUGGAUUUAUGAAAGACGAACUUCUGCGAAAGCAUUUGCCAAGGAUGUUUUCAUUG